This 465-nucleotide ribosomal RNA is filed under the name uncultured bacterium. Its description in RNAcentral is "partial 16S ribosomal RNA". It matches the Rfam family "Bacterial small subunit ribosomal RNA", at positions 338 to 795 of the family's 1533-position model. The record is from RNAcentral.
CCUACGGGAGGCAGCAGUAGGGAAUCUUCCACAAUGGGCGAAAGCCUGAUGGAGCAACGCCGCGUGGGUGAAGAAGGUCUUCGGAUCGUAAAACCCUGUUGUUAGAGAAGAAAGUGCGUGAGAGUAACUGUUCACGUUUCGACGGUAUCUAACCAGAAAGCCACGGCUAACUACGUGCCAGCAGCCGCGGUAAUACGUAGGUGGCAAGCGUUAUCCGGAUUUAUUGGGCGGAAAGGGAACGCAGGCGGUCUUCUAAGUCUGAUGUGAAAGCCUUCGGCUUAACCGGAGUAGUGCAUUGGAAACUGGGUGACUUGAGUGCAGAAGAGGAGAGUGGAACUCCAUGUGUAGCGGUGAAAGGCGUAGAUAUAUGGAGGAACACCAGUGGCGAAGGCGGCUCUCUGGUCUGUAACUGACGCUGAGGUUCGAAAGCGUGGGUAGCAAACAGGAUUAGAUACCCUUGUAGUC